This 1538-nucleotide ribosomal RNA is filed under the name metagenome. RNAcentral describes it as "bacterial SSU rRNA". It matches the Rfam family "Bacterial small subunit ribosomal RNA". The record is from RNAcentral.
AGAGUUUGAUUCUGGCUCAGAACGAACGCUGGCAGCGUGGAUUAGGCAUGCAAGUCGAACGAGAAGCUGUGAAUUCAAUCUUCGGAGAGAGUUCAUGGUGGAGAGUGGCGGAAGGGUGAGUAACGCGUGGGUAAUUUACCUUAAAGUCGGGGAUAACUUCGCGAAAGCGAAGCUAAUACCGGAUGUGGUGGUCCUUCGCAUGUAGGACUUACUAAAGGUGGGGACCUUUCGGGGCCUGCCGCUUUAAGAGAAGCCCGCGUACCAUCAGCUAGUUGGUGAGGUAACGGCCCACCAAGGCUUACGGUUAGCCGGCCUGAGAGGGUGACCGGCCACACUGGGACUGAGACACUGCCCAGACUCCUACGGGAGGCUGCAGUCGAGGAUCAUUCGCAAUGCGCGAAAGCGUGACGAUGCGACGCUGCGUGGAGGAUGAAGGCCUUCGGGUCGUAAACUCCUGUCAUUCGGGAAGAACGACGCCGAUGCUAAUACCAUCGGUGUGUGACGGUACCGGAAGAGGAAGCCACGGCUAACUCUGUGCCAGCAGCCGCGGUAAUACAGAGGUGGCGAGCGUUGUUCGGAUUUACUGGGCGUAAAGCGUGCGUAGGUGGUGCCGUAUGUCGGAUGUGAAAUCCCAUCGCUCAACGGUGGAAUUGCAUUCGAAACUGCGGGGCUAGAGUACAGGAGAGGAGAGCGGAAUUCUUGGUGUAGCGGUGAAAUGCGUUGAUAUCAAGAAGAACACCGGUGGCGAAGGCGGCUCUCUGGAAUGUUACUGACACUGAGGCACGAAAGCUGGGGGAGCAAACAGGAUUAGAUACCCUGGUAGUCCCAGCCGUAAACGGUGCGCACUUGGUGUGGGAGGUAUUGACCCCUUCCGUGCCGGAGCUAACGCGUUAAGUGCGCCGCCUGGGGAGUACGGCCGCAAGGCUAAAACUCAAAGAAAUUGACGGGGGCCCGCACAAGCGGAGGAGCAUGUGGCUUAAUUCGAUGCAACGCGAAGAACCUUACCAGGGUUUGACAUGCAGCUGCAAGCCCCGUGAAAGCGGGGCCGCCUUCGAGGGUGCUGCACAGGUGCUGCAUGGCUGUCGUCAGUUCGUGCCGUGAGGUGUUGGGUUAAGUCCCGCAACGAACGCAACCCCUAUGUUUAGUUGCCACCGCAGGUGUUAAAGCCUGCGAGCACUUUAGACAGACUGCCCGUACAAGCGGGAGGAAGGUGGGGACGACGUCAAGUCAGUAUAGCCCUUACAUCCUGGGCUGCACACGUGCUACAAUGGUCGGUACAGAGGGAUGCAAGACCGCGAGGUGGAGCAAAUCCAGAAAACCGGCCUCAGUUCGGAUUGGAGUCUGAAACUCGACUCCAUGAAGUUGGAUUCGCUAGUAACGGCGCAUCAGCUACGGCGCCGUGAAUACGUUCCCGGGCCUUGUACACACCGCCCGUCACAUCAUGAAAGCCGUCUGCACCCGAAGUCGCUGAGCCAACCCGCAAGGGAGGCAGGUGCCGAAGGUGUGGGUGGUGAUUGGGAUGAAGUCGGAACAAGGUA